UGCAGAUGAUGCUAACCUUGCUGUCUGAAUCCACUCGAUGACACACCACCAAGAUCGCUGAUGCA
This 65-nucleotide small nucleolar RNA is filed under the name Eurypyga helias (sunbittern). RNAcentral's name for it is "Small nucleolar RNA SNORD24". It matches the Rfam family "Small nucleolar RNA SNORD24". From Rfam's summary of the family: U24 is a member of the C/D class of snoRNA which contain the C (UGAUGA) and D (CUGA) box motifs. C/D box snoRNAs have been shown to act as methylation guides for a number of RNA targets. Lineage: Eukaryota; Metazoa; Chordata; Aves; Eurypygiformes; Eurypygidae. The record is from Rfam by way of RNAcentral.